GUGAAGCCUAAUAUGUCCACCGAACAACUUCUAAAAAAGAUUGGCAAUAGGUAUGAAUUGCCUAAAAUUCCUUCUGAGAUUUCGAAGGAUGGGAAGGAUUUCUUGAAAGGGUGUCUGGCGAAGAAACCUACAUUUAGAUUCACUGCUGAGAUGCUAUUAAAUCAUCCUUUUGUGUCAGGAUUAGAUAACACAAAAGGCAGCGAAUUUGGGGAGAUCUUGGAAGAAGGGUGGAUGGACCCUAUUGUCACAUUGCCUGAUGUUGAAAAUGAAUUUUGUGCUUCGAGCUAUUCUGAAGACUGCAGCUUUAUAUCUGAAAGAGGGUCCUUCCUCUUCUUCGGUAGAUGAGAAGUCCG
Molecule: unclassified non-coding RNA, 353 nt
Filed under: Hevea brasiliensis (rubber tree)
Lineage: Eukaryota; Viridiplantae; Streptophyta; Magnoliopsida; Malpighiales; Euphorbiaceae
Source: RNAcentral